Molecule: ribosomal RNA, 492 nt
Filed under: uncultured bacterium
Lineage: Bacteria
Description: partial 16S ribosomal RNA
Rfam family: Bacterial small subunit ribosomal RNA
Source: RNAcentral
AGUGAACGCUGGCGGUAGGCCUAACACAUGCAAGUCGAACGGCAGCACAGUAAUAGCUUGCUCUUACGGGUGGCGAGUGGCGGACGGGUGAGGAGUACAUCGGAAUCUACUUUUUCGUGGGGGAUAACGUAGGGAAACUUACGCUAAUACCGCAUACGACCUACGGGUGAAAGCAGGGGAUCUUCGGACCUUGCGCGAUUGAAUGAGCCGAUGUCGGAUUAGCUAGUUGGCGGGGUAAAGGCCCACCAAGGCGACGAUCCGUAGCUGGUCUGAGAGGAUGAUCAGCCACACUGGAACUGAGACACGGUCCAGACUCCUACGGGAGGCAGCAGUGGGGAAUAUUGGACAAUGGGCGAAAGCCUGAUCCAGCCAUACCGCGUGGGUGAAGAAGGCCUUCGGGUUGUAAAGCCCUUUUGUUGGGAAAGAAAAGCAGCAGGUUAAUACCCCGCUGUUCUGACGGUACCCAAAGAAUAAGCACCGGCUAACUUCGUG